AUAUAUAAUGCAAUUUUACAGGAAUCACUUGACUGCCCUUAGAAUUUGGAAUUGUGAUCCUAACUUUUUGUUAUGACGUGAUGCUUUCACAUACUGGAUCCCCAAAGUUGUGAUGUGCCCAAAGAACACGAAAAGAAGAUCAUUUUGGUAGCAACAACACAAAAACAAAGAAAGAAAGUUAGAAGAUUAUCCCUAAAAUUUCAUUAAUUUUAAAACAGAAAACUAGUUUAUGUAUGACGGCAUUCUAAAUCCAAAUAUAGUGGAGUACUAGCAGAAUGCUUGCUAAUUACUUGGCUGGGGGAGUGGGGG
This 309-nucleotide unclassified non-coding RNA is filed under the name Hevea brasiliensis (rubber tree). The record is from RNAcentral. Lineage: Eukaryota; Viridiplantae; Streptophyta; Magnoliopsida; Malpighiales; Euphorbiaceae.